Paramuricea clavata is the source of this 1075-nucleotide non-coding RNA. The record is from the annotation of a GenBank genome assembly. NCBI's taxonomy places the organism in Eukaryota, Metazoa, Cnidaria, Anthozoa, Malacalcyonacea, Plexauridae.
CCCAAAAGUAGUCAUUUAGUAAUAAAGUCAAUAAUAGCCUGCGAACAGGCUCACUGGGAGAAAGGUGAGCCUGCACCAGCCUCUGAGCCUGCACGGAACCAUACGUUUUGUUCAAUCAUCCCCUUUUUGCAUCUGCUAACGCGAACCAAUCAGCGUCGACUGCGAUAAAUAAACUGUCAAAUUGACGCCGGGCGUAUGUACAACGAAUAAAUGUAUAUAUGGCUUAUUGCACAUUUUAUCCGUACACCCCCUGUUGAGGACACACAGCAUAAAUUCUCCUACCCCCCGGAUUUCCAAGUAAUUUUUUGUCAGAAGCCCUGGAAAAAUGUGGUUUGUAAAAGGGGGUGCCUGGAAUUCCAAUUGUGUUUAAUCAGUGACUUUUGGAAAUUCAUUUUUUUUCCGCAUGACUCUGGAAUUCCACUGUGAAUAAGUUGAUCUCCCCUGGAUUUCCUUGCCACUUUUUGUCUCCAUCCCUGGAAAAAUGUGGUUUGUAGAAGGGAGUACCUGGAAUUCCAAGCACUUUUUUUUUAUGAUGACAAUCAAUGACCCUUGGAAAUGCAUUUUUUUCCGCAUGACUCCAGAAUUCCACUGUGAAUAAGUUGAUCUCCCCUGGAAUUUCCAAUUCCGGUAUCAUUAAUAAUUUAUUUUAUUCUAUUUAUUUUAUUCCCCGGAAUUUCCAUGUAAAUCUUAUUAUUUUGACCCCCACCCACUGGAAUUCCAGGUUGGUUUGACCCCCACCCACUGGAAUUCCAGGGUUAAAUAUAAAAGGCAUCCCCUGGAUUUCCAAGGUCCUCAACAGGGGGUGUACGGAUAAAAAAUGCAAUAUGCCAUGAUAUAAACAAUAAUAUUCAUUUCUUAUUCUAUGAUACGAAGCAUUACUGUAGUAGGAAGCCGCACAAUAUAUUAAAUAUAGAAUUCGCCAGAUAAUAGAUUUGUAAUAAUACUUUUACUACUUGUGACUGAAAGAAUAAAGUUCUGAAAAUUUGAAGCUAUUAAAAUACGGAAGCCGUAUAUGUAAUGUACACUAUAGUGGGUCGAUACUAUAUGACAAUGAAAGAGAGACUUGGCGCAAGUC